AGAGUUACCUGUUCCUACUGUCCUCGGACUACGAGAGGUCAGAGUGGAGAGAAGCAAUUCAGAAACUACAGAAGAAGGAUCUCCAGGCCUUUGUCCUGAGCUCAGUGGAGCUCCAGGUGCUCACAGGAUCCUGUUUCAAGCUUAGGACUGUACACAACAUUCCUGUCACCAGCAAUAAAGACGACGAUGAGUCUCCAGGACUCUAUGGCUUCCUUCAUGUCAUCGUCCACUCUGCCAAGGGAUUUAAGCAAUCAGCCAGUAAGUGCCCUGGCCAGGACGAGGUUGGGUGGGCCAUUGUGGAUUCUGCACUGCUCUGCCCAGGAUGGGGCCCUGCCAGCACGCCUUUAGACAUGGGGCAUUCCCCUGGAGGCCAGAAACCAGCUCCUCUUGGCAGGGAGGUCACCCCUGGCCUUUGUCUCCAAAGUCCUCUUUCUCAAGCCCUCCCUGAAGCUGUCUGAAACCUAGGGGCCGGGCGCGGUGGCUCACCCCUGUAAUCCCAGCACUUUGGGAGGCCCAGGCGGGCGGAUCACGAGGUCAGGAGUUCGAGACCAUCCGGGCCAACAUGGUGAAACCCCGUCUCUACUAAAAAUACUAAAAUUAGCGUGGGCAUGGCGGUGGACGCCUGUAGUCCCAGCUACUUGGGAGGCUGAGGCCAGAGAAUCCCUUGAACCCGGGAGGCGGAGGUUGCUGUGAGCUGAGAUCAUGGCAUUGCACUCCACCCUGGGCGACAGAGCGAGAAUCCGUCUCAAAAAAAAAAAAAAGAAACCGAGUGCGACAAACACGUGGACUCCAACUUCAUAUCUGAGGGCGACAAACACGUGGACUCCAACUUCAUAUCUGCCCAUGACAAGCUGUGUGACCUUGGGCAAGUUUCUUAACCUCUCUGGGCCUCCACUAAAAGGCAGUCACGCUUGUGAAUUUUGACCCGAGAGCAGGCUGGGAUAUGAUCGUGUGUGUGCAACGCUGGUGUGCUGCCACGCUCAUCGCUUUUUCUCCCCUUCCCCCUUGUG
Molecule: long non-coding RNA, 1010 nt
Filed under: Homo sapiens (human)
Lineage: Eukaryota; Metazoa; Chordata; Mammalia; Primates; Hominidae
Description: non-protein coding lnc-ABR-5:4
Source: RNAcentral